GCAGCACCUAAGGCAUAUGGAAAUUUCCAGGCCAGGGGUAAAAUCAGAGCUGCAGCUGAGGCCUACACCACAGCCACAGCAACACUGGAGGGAUCCAUUCGAGCCACAUCUGCAACCUACAUGGCAGCUUGCAGUGAUGCUGGAUCCUUAACCCACUGAGCAAGGCCAGGGAUCAAACCCGAAUCUUUACAGACACUAUGUUGGGUUCUUAGCCUGCUGAGCCACAAUAGGAACUCCAAGAAGUUCAUUCUUUAUGGUAUAUUUUUUGUUUGUUUUAAAUUUGUAAAAUCAAUGUAUUUUUUAACCACUUGCUUUCCAUGAAUUUACAGUGCCAAGGCAGGCUAAAUUGUUUAUCUCCCUAACUCUUCAAAAAAAAAAAUCUCAAAUCACUUUUCUGUAUAGCAGAAAUUAACACAGCAUUGUAAAUCAACUCUACUUAAUAAAACUUCAAAAAAUGGAAAAAAAAAAGGAACAGAACCUCAUUUCUGUUUUACAGAAAGGAAACUGGUGCACUGUGAAAUUAAUGACUAGGGAAACUAGUCAUUGCCCAGGAUUUCAAGAUAGACACCAAAUUCUCUAAUUUCUUAGCCUGUAGCAUCCAACUCUAGAACUUGACUAUUCUAUCCCCUUGGGUUCUGGGUAGAGAGUAAUAAGGACCUCAGUGAGAUAGAUUUUCUGAUGGAUCAAAAAAAGAAUUAAAAAUAAAGAAGACAGAAAAAGAAAAAAUAAUCAGCCACAGCAAGGUAGGAAAGUUUUGGACAAACAGAAGAAUCACUGUGAACUAAAUAUAUAUUGAAUGUACUGUUUCAUAGUCAUCAACAAUUUAGUUAAGAGACAGGGAUUUCCAAUAUUGAUUUUUUUUCAAAAUACAUAAUUUUGAAGAAGGUACUGAAGUAACAGCUUAUUUAGCAUCCUUUAAAAAUAAGAAAUUAAUACAUCUUCAAAUUUUGUAACCAAACAAUAGCUUCAAGGCCCAUAUUUUUACUGAAUGAAUACCAUCACCAAACAUAGGCAAGUGGCCUUCAGUGGCUGCACUAUAUAUUUCCACCUGAAUCAGUGUAUUCUUUCUCCCAAAACUCACAUAACAAGAAUGUGAUGGAGGUAAUUAGAGUAUAGAAGGAAAAAACAGUGGUAGAGGAUUCAGGCAAUAUUCCCUCCCUCCCUCUCCGCAUUCGCAAACUAGGGCUAAUUAUUUUUAUUUAUUAAUGUGUUGCAAUCUGGAGAAACACACCCCUCUAAUACUUCACAAGUAAAUGGUCUAUAUCCCAGGUAAGUACCUUCUUAAAGAAGCUUUUGGUUUUUCCUUUUCUCUGAAUUUUUGAGAACUGGCCCUUGAUGAAAGGACGGUGAACUUGAAAACAGCCAGCCCUCCCAAAGAGAUCAAGUGCUCCUCUAUGAUCAUUGACUACAAAGCACAGUCAAACACUAAACAGUGGUUCUAACCUUGGCCAGACUUACCCAGAGAGAACAUCUUAGAGUUAAUAGAGCCAUGGACUCUAAGCUAAAGUCCAGUCCUACUAUGGACUCUUUCACAGGGGUUGUUUGGCAUUGGUGACUAACUUCACCUUUCUAAGCUUGACUCCUCAUAUGGGGCCAUGGCUCUUGCCUCCCCUGCUUCAGAGGGCUGUGAAGAGAAUCAAAUCAAACACUAUAUGAGAGUGUUGGAAAGUGUGAAAUGCUAUAGAAACAGACACAUAGAGCCCCUAAUCUGUAGGAUAUUUGACACCAUGUCUAUCUCCGCAAAAUUCACCUUCUCCAUGGUGACAUCUGUGACUCUUUUAUUUAAAGAAAAGGCUGAAUAGAGUGAGACCUAUGCCAUGGCCAGUGACCUGAUACAUGUGUGCAUGUCUGCAAAAGAUUAUUGUAGCUAUUGUCAUGAGAUACCUGCAUCGCUUUCUUGGCAGAAUUACCAGACUCUGUACUGCUGUGAAGCAAAAUGCACUCAGCUGUGUGCUGUUCUCUACCUUGGAACUGUCAUCCUCCAGCUUUAUAGUUAGACCAACACAAUCACUUAGUGGUGAAGGCAUGGAAGAAACUGCAGUGAGAAGUAGGAGAGACUUAGGAACAGAUCUGUCACUCAAAGUGUGAUGUGGUGCCAUUAGAAAAAGGGCUAAGUCAAGGAACAAGUUUCCUGGUGCUGGAGUGGCUAGAACAGUAAGGAUGGUCAUUAGGGACCUGAACAAUAUUUUAUGGGAAUAACUUAAAACAUUAUACAUCAUAUCUUCAUGUGCCCUAAUAACUUGGGUGGCCUCACGCCCCUUUCAACAUGAGGCUAGAGUCAAACAGUGUAUAAGAAACACUGAAAAGAUAAUCAUUCUAUAAUCAUUUGAUAAUCAUUCAAAUAUUUCAACUGUGGACAAGAAGGAGUCCCAAAAGAUUGCACAAGAUCCUUUUAGGAAGGCCUCUAAGUAGCUCCCCAAAAUCAUCAAACUAACAGACACAGUUCCCUCUUCUCCUCCACACCCAAACUCUAGCCCUGGCUGAUUAGUUUCCCUGAUUCAUCCUGAUCCUCUAGGCACUCUUCCACAGCACUUUAGGAUCUAAUUUUUAUUCACUUUUUCUUGUUCAGCUAUACCCAUGGCAUAUGAAGUUCCAGGACCAGCAAGUGAAUCCCAGCUGGAGCUGUGACCCACACCACAGCUGCAGCAACACCAGAUCCUUAACCCACUGCAUUGGGCUGGGGAUAGACCCCAUGUCUUUGCGGAAACAAGCCAGAUCAUUAACCAAUUGUGCCACAGAGAGGAAGUUGUGAUAUAUUUCUAUCAUGAAAUUUGUAUCAUUCCAGCUACAUGUGGGCAGCUGGGAAAGGUCUGAUCAUGAAAGACAGACCAUUGGGAGUUCCCGUUGUGGUGCAGUGGAAAGGAAUAUGACUAGUAUCCAUGAGGAUGCAGAUUUGAUUCCUGGCCUUGCUCAGUAGGUUGGGGAGUCAGCGUUGCCAUGAACUGUGGUUUAGUUUGCAGAUGCAACUCAGAUCCAUGUUGCUGUGGCUCUGGUGUAGGCUGAUUCAACCCUGAACCACCUGGGAAUUUCCAUAUGCUGCGGGUUUGGCCCUAAAAAGCCAAAAAAAAAAAAAAAAAAAAAAA
Molecule: long non-coding RNA, 3083 nt
Filed under: Sus scrofa (pig)
Lineage: Eukaryota; Metazoa; Chordata; Mammalia; Artiodactyla; Suidae
Description: lncRNA (ENSSSCG00000054800.1)
Source: RNAcentral